Molecule: ribosomal RNA, 432 nt
Filed under: Ochromonas sp. CCMP1393
Lineage: Eukaryota; Chrysophyceae; Chromulinales; Chromulinaceae
Description: partial Bacterial small subunit ribosomal RNA
Rfam family: Bacterial small subunit ribosomal RNA
Source: RNAcentral
AGUGGCGCACGGGUGCGUAACGCGUAACCAACCUACCCGAAUCUGGGGGAUAGCCCGCCGAAAGGCGGAUUAAUACCGCAUAAAACUGCAGUGUGGCAUCGCACAACAGUUAAAGAUUUAUUGGAUUCGGAUGGGGCUGCGUGCCAUUAGCUAGUUGGGGAGGUAACGGCUCACCAAGGCGACGAUGGCUAGGGGAGCUGAGAGGCUGGUCCCCCACACGGGCACUGAGAUACGGGCCCGACUCCUACGGGAGGCAGCAGUAGGGAAUAUUGGGCAAUGGCCGAGAGGCUGACCCAGCCAUGCCGCGUGCAGGAUGAAGGCUUUCUGAGUCGUAAACUGCUUUUGCCAGGGAAGAAAAAAGGGGAUGCGUCCUCUACUGACGGUACCUGGUGAAUAAGCACCGGCUAACUCCGUGCCAGCAGCCGCGGUAAU